Molecule: ribosomal RNA, 1380 nt
Filed under: Bacillus sp. (in: firmicutes)
Lineage: Bacteria; Bacillati; Bacillota; Bacilli; Caryophanales; Bacillaceae
Description: bacterial SSU rRNA
Rfam family: Bacterial small subunit ribosomal RNA
Source: RNAcentral
GGGAGCUUGCUCCCGGAUGUUAGCGGCGGACGGGUGAGUAACACGUGGGUAACCUGCCUGUAAGACUGGGAUAACUCCGGGAAACCGGAGCUAAUACCGGAUAGUUCCUUGAACCGCAUGGUUCAAGGAUGAAAGACGGUUUCGGCUGUCACUUACAGAUGGACCCGCGGCGCAUUAGCUAGUUGGUGAGGUAACGGCUCACCAAGGCGACGAUGCGUAGCCGACCUGAGAGGGUGAUCGGCCACACUGGGACUGAGACACGGCCCAGACUCCUACGGGAGGCAGCAGUAGGGAAUCUUCCGCAAUGGACGAAAGUCUGACGGAGCAACGCCGCGUGAGUGAUGAAGGUUUUCGGAUCGUAAAGCUCUGUUGUUAGGGAAGAACAAGUGCAAGAGUAACUGCUUGCACCUUGACGGUACCUAACCCAGAAAGCCACGGCUAACUACGUGCCAGCAGCCGCGGUAAUACGUAGGUGGCAAGCGUUGUCCGGGAAUUAUUGGGCGUAAAGGGCUCGCAGGCGGUUUCUUAAGUCUGAUGUGAAAGCCCCCGGCUCAACCGGGGAGGGUCAUUGGAAACUGGGAAACUUGAGUGCAGAAGAGGAGAGUGGAAUUCCACGUGUAGCGGUGAAAUGCGUAGAGAUGUGGAGGAACACCAGUGGCGAAGGCGACUCUCUGGUCUGUAACUGACGCUGAGGAGCGAAAGCGUGGGGAGCGAACAGGAUUAGAUACCCUGGUAGUCCACGCCGUAAACGAUGAGUGCUAAGUGUUAGGGGGUUUCCGCCCCUUAGUGCUGCAGCUAACGCAUUAAGCACUCCGCCUGGGGAGUACGGUCGCAAGACUGAAACUCAAAGGAAUUGACGGGGGCCCGCACAAGCGGUGGAGCAUGUGGUUUAAUUCGAAAGCAACGCGGAGAACCUUACCAGGUCUUGACAUCCUCUGACAACCCUAGAGAUAGGGCUUUCCCUUCGGGGACAGAGUGACAGGUGGUGCAUGGUUGUUCGUCAGCUCGUGUCGUGAGAUGUUGGGUUAAGUCCCGCAACGAGCGCAACCCUUGAUCUUAGUUGCCAGCAUUCAGUUGGGCACUCUAAGGUGACUGCCGGUGACAAACCGGAGGAAGGUGGGGAUGACGUCAAAUCAUCAUGCCCCUUAUGACCUGGGCUACACACGUGCUACAAUGGACAGAACAAAGGGCUGCGAGACCGCAAGGUUUAGCCAAUCCCACAAAUCUGUUCUCAGUUCGGAUCGCAGUCUGCAACUCGACUGCGUGAAGCUGGAAUCGCUAGUAAUCGCGGAUCAGCAUGCCGCGGUGAAUACGUUCCCGGGCCUUGUACACACCGCCCGUCACACCACGAGAGUUUGCAACACCCGAAGUCGGUGAGGU